Molecule: small nuclear RNA, 24 nt
Filed under: Arabidopsis thaliana (thale cress)
Lineage: Eukaryota; Viridiplantae; Streptophyta; Magnoliopsida; Brassicales; Brassicaceae
Description: snRNA_12835
Source: RNAcentral
UUUGGUGCGUUUUAAUAACUUCGU